Molecule: ribosomal RNA, 449 nt
Filed under: uncultured bacterium
Lineage: Bacteria
Description: partial 16S ribosomal RNA
Rfam family: Bacterial small subunit ribosomal RNA
Source: RNAcentral
AACGAACGCUGGCGGCAUGCCUAACACAUGCAAGUCGAACGAAGCCUUCGGGCUUAGUGGCGCACGGGUGCGUAACGCGUGGGAAUCUGCCCUUGGGUUCGGAAUAACAGUUAGAAAUGACUGCUAAUACCGGAUGAUGACGUAAGUCCAAAGAUUUAUCGCCCAGGGAUGAGCCCGCGUAGGAUUAGGUAGUUGGUGGGGUAAAGGCUCACCAAGCCGACGAUCCUUAGCUGGUCUGAGAGGAUGAUCAGCCACACUGGGACUGAGACACGGCCCAGGCUCCUACGGGAGGCAGCAGUGGGGAAUAUUGGACAAUGGGCGCAAGCCUGAUCCAGCAAUGCCGCGUGAGUGAUGAAGGCCUUAGGGUUGUAAAGCUCUUUUACCAGGGAUGAUAAUGACAGUACCUGGAGAAUAAGCUCCGGCUAACUCCGUGCCAGCCGCCGCCGUAA